Molecule: ribosomal RNA, 913 nt
Filed under: uncultured bacterium
Lineage: Bacteria
Description: bacterial SSU rRNA
Rfam family: Bacterial small subunit ribosomal RNA
Source: RNAcentral
GUAUAGAACCUACCUUAUAUUGGGGGAUAGCCCAGAGAAAUUUGGAUUAAUACCCCAUAGUAUGCUGAAGUGGCAUCCUUUAGUAUUAAAGAUUUAUCGAUAUAAGAUGGCUAUGCGUUCUAUUAGCUAGUUGGUAUGGUAACGGCAUACCAAGGCUACGAUAGAUAGGGGUCCUGAGAGGGAGAUCCCCCACACUGGUACUGAGACACGGACCAGACUCCUACGGGAGGCAGCAGUGAGGAAUAUUGGACAAUGGAGGCAACUUUGAUCCAGCCAUGCCGCGUGCAGGAAGACUGCCCUAUGGGUUGUAAACUGCUUUUAUAGAGGAAGAAACCCCCCGACGAGUCGGGUCCGACGGUACUCUACGAAUAAGGAUCGGCUAACUCCGUGCCAGCAGCCGCGGUAAUACGGAGGAUCCAAGCGUUAUCCGGAAUCAUUGGGUUUAAAGGGUCCGUAGCGGAUUUGUAAGUCAGUGGUGAAAGUUUGCGGCUCAACCGUAAAAUUGCCAUUGAUACUGCAAGUCUUGGAUCAUUGUGAAGUGGUUAGAAUAUGUAGUGUAGCGGUGAAAUGCAUAGAUAUUACAUAGAAUACCGAUUGCGAAGCAGAUCACUAACAAUGUAUUGACGCUAAGGGACGAAAGCGUGGGUAGCGAACAGGAUUAGAUACCCUGGUAGUCCACGCCGUAAACGAUGGUCACUAGCUGUUUGGUUUUCGGACUGAGUGGCUAAGCGAAAGUGAUAAGUGACCCACCUGGGGAGUACGUUCGCAAGAAUGAAACUCAAAGGAAUUGACGGGGGCCCGCACAAGCGUGGAGCAUGUGGUUUAAUUCGAUGAUACGCGAGGAACCUUACCAGGGCUUAAAUGUAGUCUGACAGCUUUAGAGAUAGAGUUUUCUUCGGACAGAUUACAAGGU